GACGAACGCUGGCGGCGUGCUUAACACAUGCAAGUCGAACGGAAAGGCCCUGCUUUUGUGGGAUGCUCGAGUGGCGAACGGGUGAGUAACACGUGAGUAACCUGCCCUUGACUUUGGGAUAACUUCAGUAAACUGGGGCUAAUACCGGAUAGGAGCUCCUGCUGCAUGGUGGGUGUUUGAAAGUUUCGGCGGUUGGGGAUGGACUCGCGGCUUAUCAGCUUGUUGGUGGGGUAGUGGCUUACCAAGGCUUUGACGGGUAGCCGGCCUGAGAGGGUGACCGGCCACAUUGGGACUGAGAUACGGCCCAGACUCCUACGGGAGGCAGCAGUGGGGAAUAUUGCACAAUGGGCGGAAGCAUGAUGCAGCAACGCCGCGUGCGGGAUGACGGCCUUCGGGUUGUAAACCGCGUUCGCCUGUGACGAAGCGUGAGUGACGGUAAUGGGUAAAGAAGCACCGGCUAACUACGUG
This 468-nucleotide ribosomal RNA is filed under the name uncultured bacterium. RNAcentral's name for it is "partial 16S ribosomal RNA". It matches the Rfam family "Bacterial small subunit ribosomal RNA", at positions 28 to 507 of the family's 1533-position model. The record is from RNAcentral.